GGAGACAGACAGGACAUGGGCAGGGAGCUUGACGGGUCUUCCAAGUGAGCGAGGUGAGGGAUAGUGCCCCAGUGACCUGCCCCUCCUCCUCCAGGCCAAUGUGAGGGAGUUGAUGGACCGAGCUCUGGAGCUAGAGGCACGGCGCUGGGCUGAGGAUGUGCCUCCCCACAGGCUGGACGGCUACUGCCACAGCGAGCUGGCCAUCGACAUCAUCCAGGCGAGCCCCUGCUCAGCUCACCC
Molecule: long non-coding RNA, 240 nt
Filed under: Pan troglodytes (chimpanzee)
Lineage: Eukaryota; Metazoa; Chordata; Mammalia; Primates; Hominidae
Description: long non-coding RNA NONPTRT004935
Source: RNAcentral